UUUCACGAAGAAAUUGUAAACCAAAAACGACUAAACAUUGGUUAAAUUGUAGGAACAAGUUAAAGAGGUCGUGUGCGCGCGAUUCUGGAAGUGGUUCUGUUUUGAGGGUUAUAUGUGUUUAUGCACGGGGAAUCAGAUUUAUAUGUCUUCAGGUAAGUUUUAGAGGAUCUCAAAAUGAAGAGUUUGAUAUAAAGAACACUCAUUUUUGUUAAGUAUUGAAAAAGUUAUAGUUCUUUGAAUUUUAUGUUAGAAAUCUGGAAAUUUUAGAGAAUUGUUGAGAUAGGAUUUUAUUUCUUAAGCUUUGUUUUCGUGAGCGUCAUCUCUGGUGCGACAUGUUAUGUAUAUCUUUAGGAAACCAGAAUGUUUAAGGUUUUAAUACUCGGUUGGGUUGUUGGCAGGCCGAGAAGAAUUAAACCGAGCUUAUAGACCAAGGAUCUAGCCCAAGACUGUAGAGAUCGACUUCCCGGUGCCUGAUAGACUGCCUUAGUCUGCGGAAGCUUCAUUAUCGAUUGCCAGUACGUGUUUUGAGUUGGGCAUAAAGUCUGUUGUGUUGUGAUGUAUUCACACCCUUGUAUGUUAUAGAUACUCCACAGUUUGUAUAAGCUUUAGGAGCUGUAGUUGUGUAAAUUUUUUUGGUUAUAUUUUGAUUAAGGUGUCUUUAGGUUUACUCGUGAAAUUGGUAAAUUUUGAGGUACACUUCAUGUA
This is a long non-coding RNA of Cucumis melo (muskmelon), 705 nucleotides long. RefSeq lists it as uncharacterized. The record is from RefSeq and is a predicted model, not a curated record. NCBI's taxonomy places the organism in Eukaryota, Viridiplantae, Streptophyta, Magnoliopsida, Cucurbitales, Cucurbitaceae. The transcript is spliced from 2 exons.